This 313-nucleotide long non-coding RNA is filed under the name Mytilus galloprovincialis (Mediterranean mussel). Lineage: Eukaryota; Metazoa; Mollusca; Bivalvia; Mytilida; Mytilidae. The record is from RNAcentral.
GCUGUAGCAAGCCUCCAGGUAUUAUUGUAAAUUAUAUGGGGACAAAGUCCCCUAUUACAGUAGAAAAUUCAAUAAAAAAAAAAAAAAAAAAAAAAAAUCGGGAAAAUUUCCCGAAUUUUUCAUUGUACUAAUGAACUCAAAAUCGUUCAAUUUUUUUGUCGGGUUUUUUAAUUUCCGGAUCUGCGCAGAACACAUAACUCUACUUCCUUCUUCCGGUCUUGUUGUCGUGAGACUUUGAUUAGUCUAGUAAAAUAUAGGAACUCAAGGAACACAAUACCAAUAUAUUUCAUUUUUAAUCAUUCUUUGUCUUUGG